Adelges cooleyi (spruce gall adelgid) is the source of this 333-nucleotide long non-coding RNA. RefSeq lists it as uncharacterized. The transcript has 6 exons. The record is from RefSeq and is a predicted model, not a curated record. Lineage: Eukaryota; Metazoa; Arthropoda; Insecta; Hemiptera; Adelgidae.
AAAUUCUGCAAAAUAAAUCUAGAUUUUAUUGUUUCGGUCGGCAAUAUGUAAGCCAUUCGAUCAGUCGUAAAAAAACCAUUGAAACAGUCAGUACAACUAUCAUUGCAAAUAUUUAAACAAAAAUGAAAUAUAUAUAUAUCUUACUCUUCUGUGCUAUUUCAAAUGUUUUGGCAAAUCAUUCUUAUGAUAGUACAGGCUGGAGAAGGACGCUUCAUGCUACAAACCUACUCAUUGAAAUACAUGAUGAAAAAGGGACCCUUUGGAAUAAAAUAAAAGAAAUUGUUGCACUUAAUCUUCCCAUGAAGUCAUUAUCUCAUAUGUGUGCAGUAUCUG